This 528-nucleotide ribosomal RNA is filed under the name uncultured bacterium. RNAcentral's name for it is "bacterial SSU rRNA". It matches the Rfam family "Bacterial small subunit ribosomal RNA", at positions 355 to 896 of the family's 1533-position model. The record is from RNAcentral.
UGAGGAAUAUUGCACAAUGGGCGCAUGCCUGAUGCAGCGACGCCGCGUGAGUGAUGAAGGCCUUCGGGUCGUAAAGCUCUUUUCUAGGUGACGGGAAUGGACGGUAGCCUAGGAAUAAGUGUCGGCUAACUACGUGCCGGCAGCCGCGGUAAAACGUAGGACACAAACGUUAUCCGGAGUUACUGGGCGUAAAGGGCGCGCAGGCGGAUUGGUAAGUCUACUCUGAAAGCUCCUGGCUAAACUGGGAGAGGCGAGUGGUGACUGUCAGUCUAGAGUGAGGAAGAGGAAAGUGGAAUUCCGCGUGUAGUGGUGAAAUGCGUAGAGAUGCGGAGGAACACCAGUGGCGAAAGCGGCUUUCUGGUCCUUAACUGACGCUGAGGCGCGAAAGCAUGGGGAGCGAACGGGAUUAGAAACCCCGGUAGUCCAUGCCGUAAACGAUGUUCACUAAACGUUCGUUUCCCGCGAGGGAAGCGGGUGUUGAAGCUAACGCAGUAAGUGAACCGCCUGGGGAGUACGGUCGCAAGGCUA